UAGUCCACGCCCUAAACGAUGCACACUAGUUGUUGCGAGGCUAGACCUUGCAGUAAUGCAGUUAACACAUUAAGUGUGCCGCCUGGGGAGUACGGUCGCAAGAUUAAAACUCAAAGGAAUAGACGGGGACCCGCACAAGCGGUGGAGCAUGUGGUUUAAUUCGACGAUACGCGAAGAACCUUACCUGGACUUGACAUAGAAAGAAUAACGCAGAGAUGUGAUAGUGCUAGCUUGCUAGAGCUUUCAUACAGGUGCUGCACGGCUGUCGUCAGCUCGUGUCGUGAGAUGUUGGGUUAAGUCCCGCAACGAGCGCAACCCUCGUGUUUAGUUGAUAACAGUUCGGCUGAUAACUCUAAACAGACUGCCUGGGUAACCAGGAGGAAGGUGAGGACGACGUCAAGUCAUCAUGGCCCUUAUGUCCAGGGCUACACACGUGCUACAAUGGGGUAUACAAAGAGCAGCGAUACUGUGAAGUGGAGCAAAUCUA
This 487-nucleotide ribosomal RNA is filed under the name uncultured bacterium. Its description in RNAcentral is "bacterial SSU rRNA". It matches the Rfam family "Bacterial small subunit ribosomal RNA", at positions 791 to 1275 of the family's 1533-position model. The record is from RNAcentral.